UUAAUAAUUUUACAAAUAAUCAGACAAUAGGUUACAAAAGAGUUUUGUGGUCCUCUGGCAGGCACUGACCAGCAAAUUUGCCAGUGGCCUUAAGACGGGCCUGCCAAAGCAACAAAGUAUUGUAAACAAAGGGUGGGAGAUAUACCCCAAAGGGCAUUUUCUCUGUAAUGAUCCUUCCGCAGGUUCACCUACGGAACACAAUAAUUACUGUUUUUCCAACAGUGGGCCGGUCAUAUUUUAAUUCAACAGCGUAAGGGCUAGAGAACCACCUUUGUUUGAUCUGUGAGCUGGUUUAACAGCUGCUUGUUACCUUUAAGGUCUCCAAGCACAAUAAAGAUGUUGCCUAUAAAAUAGACUUUAGGUUCAAGGCUUCAAUAGGCAUUCUAUAGAGGAAA
This 395-nucleotide unclassified non-coding RNA is filed under the name uncultured fungus. RNAcentral describes it as "sequence contains ITS1". Lineage: Eukaryota; Fungi. The record is from RNAcentral.